Molecule: non-coding RNA, 113 nt
Filed under: bovine gut metagenome
Description: FMN riboswitch (RFN element)
Rfam family: FMN riboswitch aptamer (RFN element)
About the family: The RFN element is a highly conserved domain that is found frequently in the 5'-untranslated regions of prokaryotic mRNAs that encode for flavin mononucleotide (FMN) biosynthesis and transport proteins. This element is a metabolite-dependent riboswitch that directly binds FMN in the absence of proteins.
Source: RNAcentral
CCUUGGGGCGGGGUGAAAUUCCCCACCGGCGGUACAGCCCGCCAGCUUUCCGCAGCGGAACAGCUGAUUCGGUGUGAUUCCGAAGCCGACGGUAAAAGUCCGGAUGAAAAAGG